RNAcentral lists this ribosomal RNA (253 nucleotides) under uncultured bacterium. Its description in RNAcentral is "partial 16S ribosomal RNA". It matches the Rfam family "Bacterial small subunit ribosomal RNA", at positions 524 to 776 of the family's 1533-position model. The record is from RNAcentral.
UACGGGGGGGGCAAGCGUUGUUCGGAAUUACUGGGCGUAAAGGGUUCGUAGGUGGCCGACUAAGUCAGACGUGAAAUCCCUCAGCUCAACUGGGGAACUGCGUCUGAGACUGGCCGGCUUGAGUGCAGGAGAGGAACGCGGAAUUCCAGGUGUAGCGGUGAAAUGCGUAGAUAUCUGGAGGAACACCGGUGGCGAAGGCGGCGUUCUGGACUGCUACUGACACUGAGGAACGAAAGCAUGGGGAGCGAACAGG